CCUACGGGGGGCUGCAGUGAGGAAUAUUGGUCAAUGGACGAGAGUCUGAACCAGCCAAGUAGCGUGAAGGAUGACUGCCCUAUGGGUUGUAAACUUCUUUUAUAUGGGAAUAAAAUGUUCCACGUGUGGGUUUUUGUAUGUACCCUAUGAAUAAGGAUCGGCUAACUCCGUGCCCGCAGCCGCGGUACUACGGAGGAUCCGAGCGUUAUCCGGCUUUAUUGGGUUUAAAGGGCGUGUAGGUGGAUUGUGAAGUCAGUUGUGAAAGUUUGGGGCUCAACCGUAACAUUGCAGUUGAAACUGGCAGUCUAGAGUACAGGAGAGGUGGGCGGAAUGCGUGGUGUAGCGGUGAAAUGCGUAGAUAUCACGAAGAACUCCGAGUGCGAAGGCAGCCUGCUGGACUGUAACUGACGCUGAUGCUCGAAAGUGUGGGUAUCAAACAGGAUUAGAUACCCCGGUAGUC
This 460-nucleotide ribosomal RNA is filed under the name uncultured bacterium. RNAcentral's name for it is "partial 16S ribosomal RNA". It matches the Rfam family "Bacterial small subunit ribosomal RNA", at positions 338 to 795 of the family's 1533-position model. The record is from RNAcentral.